This is a long non-coding RNA of Alosa sapidissima (American shad), 723 nucleotides long. RefSeq lists it as uncharacterized. NCBI's taxonomy places the organism in Eukaryota, Metazoa, Chordata, Actinopteri, Clupeiformes, Clupeidae. The transcript has 2 exons. The record is from RefSeq and is a predicted model, not a curated record.
UUUCCGAUGCCAUCAGUCAGGAGAGGACUCAUGAGUUUGUUAUCACAGUCCUCCAGAGGGGUCCAGGGGAGCCUGGGCAUAUCGAUAUGGAUCAGGAGGGAUUUACAAAUGGAGAGAAGGAAACGAUGGCAGCUGCCACAGCUAAACACAGACCUCCCUUGCGGCCAGUUCCCCCUUUUUGGCAUGUCGAGCGUCGUCCUGUAUGUAUCCCUGGUCCUAGAGAUCACGGGUGAUCAUUCUAAUGCGCCCGGAGCCCACUGUCAGAAACCUAAUACUGGUGUUUAUUUGUGCUGCAACAGCUGGGACCAACCACAGAGGGGGGGAGAAAAUAUAGACACUGAUAGAAGAGCUGGCUCUGUGCUUGGAAGUGCACUGGAGCCCUUGGAGUUGUGGUUGAGAGAGGGAUGUUGUGGACAACACCUCACAUUCACCACCAUGGAUGUCAGACAACAGAGUGUUUUUAGCUGGAUGCUGUUUCAACUUCGCUGUGACAAGGACCGUUAUAGAAAGUAAUUCCCUCUCUCUACAGUCUAACAGUUUACAAUGACUCCCCUAUGUGCAGGGAUAGGAUAAUGAUAUUCUGAGAGACAAUGCUCAGUUUACAUGCAAUUGCACAGAGACUUAACAUUCUAAAUGCUAUUUAUUUUUGACUGCUGAUUGCUGAUUACUUUAUAUAACACCAUCAUUUUCCUUUGGGGAUGAAUAAAGUAGUCUAUCUAUCUA